AAGUGAAGCCAUAAAGUGGAAUUUGAUACACCACAUUCAUUUCCAUAGGAAACACACUGACCUCAAACACAACUGUCUGCUUUUCUCCUAUCAGUGUCUUUGUGAGUUUCCACACACCUUGUCCUCUGCACAGACAGUCCUCCCUGACCUGCUUGACCAGACCAUUAGCCUUUCUUGUCAUGUUUUGAAAUAGGAUACGGGAAAAAUUUAAGCUGAUUCAGAAUACUGAAAAAAGGUCUUAAAACUGGGAUUUAAAAGAAAAGCAGUAGCAGUAGCACAUAUUGAGAAAUGCUAUCCUGUAACAUCAUUAAUAUUUAUGCUUCUCAUAUUCUUUAUUUGGAUCAAUGUAUAGGAAACCUGGAGAAUUAUAACCAGCACCGAUAGUACACCCCAGUUACCUGGCCAUGGAAAGUAUUGCAAAGAUAGAAGCAGCCACAGAAAAUAUAUCUAAGACCAAGUCCCUGCCCUGAAGAGCUUGCACUAAGUAUCAGAUAUUUAAAGCACACACAAUUUUCAU
This is a long non-coding RNA of Dermochelys coriacea (leatherback sea turtle), 517 nucleotides long. RefSeq lists it as uncharacterized. The transcript is spliced from 3 exons. The record is from RefSeq and is a predicted model, not a curated record. NCBI's taxonomy places the organism in Eukaryota, Metazoa, Chordata, Testudines, Dermochelyidae.